RNAcentral lists this transfer RNA (71 nucleotides) under Loxodonta africana (African savanna elephant). It matches the Rfam family "tRNA". Rfam says of the family: Transfer RNA (tRNA) molecules are approximately 80 nucleotides in length. Their secondary structure includes four short double-helical elements and three loops (D, anti-codon, and T loops). Lineage: Eukaryota; Metazoa; Chordata; Mammalia; Proboscidea; Elephantidae. The record is from Rfam by way of RNAcentral.
GCAGUGGUGGUCGAGUGGUAGGACCCUUACCUUCCAUGUGGGAGACCCAGAUUCGAUUCCUGACCGAUACA